Panicum virgatum (switchgrass) is the source of this 647-nucleotide long non-coding RNA. RefSeq lists it as uncharacterized. Lineage: Eukaryota; Viridiplantae; Streptophyta; Magnoliopsida; Poales; Poaceae. The transcript has 3 exons. The record is from RefSeq and is a predicted model, not a curated record.
CAGGAGCUGGUACCACCCCACUUCACUAGCUAUGCUGCUUGUGGUGGAAAUGCUGUCUGUUGUCAAGGAUGUUGAGGAAGCAGAAGCUGCGGCGUGCUUGGGAGGGAUUCGGCAAAAGCAGAAGCUGCGGCAUGCUUGAGUCUAACAGCUUGUUUUUCUUUUUGACAUGUGCAACUACAACCUACUUGCUCCUGGUGGUGUCGAUGACACAUGAAGCAAGUAGAAUGAGCAUGCAAAAUAAAGUUCUUUGAUACAAAUGAACUCACAAGUUUUGUCAUUAGGUCCUGUCAAAGAUGAGCAUUUUAUUUCUAUGCUGGUCUUGUACAAAUUUGAGGUGUUUGGGGCUUAUCUUCCUAAGAAAGAAAUUCAAAUGCCGUACUACAAAACUUUGAUUUUCAUGAGCUCUUGACAUGAGUUUCCUUUAUUGCAAUCCAUAAUAUCUCAUUGUUUUUUCUUGACAUGAAAUUUGACAUAUUCCAUGAGAGGAUGAAUACCUCAAGAGAUUGAUGAGCCGGCCUAAUCAGGUUGGCCAUAUGAUACAAGCUGAAUCUGAUAAUGCUAAGAGGGAUGAAUAGGAUGAAUACCUCAAGAGAUUGAUGAGCCGGUGUUGACAGCCAAAAUUGGCACCAACCGGUCUGACCGGUCUG